UGGCGAGGGGGUGGGGAGGCGGCACGGAAAAGUAAAGUGACAGCCGACUUCUGUGAGAGGGGAGCCAGAUGUGUCAUAGAGAAGAAACAGAAUGAAAAGAGAUGCAGGAAUUCAGGCUGCCAUAUACUUUCUUAAACAAGCAACACUUGUCUCUAAUUUGACAGAGAAAAGAUCCAGUAAUGUCCCUGGCUCACUCCCCAACCUGCCUCCCCAUAGGAAGCCCUGUCUAGGGUCACCUCUCCUGCAUUUAAUGGAAAUGUCUUCACAUUUUUCAAUCUGGAGCAGUGGUGAAUAUAGUUUUUGAGUGGAUCUGUUUCCACAGGUCAUGCAGAAUCUUACUGGAUAAGGUCGCUGUGCCCUGCUCUCUCUUCCCUCAGCCGUGGUCUCAGCGAGGCCCUCACUCAUCUGAGUCAUCGUGAUGGCCGCCCAGCUGGUGCCUCAGUUGGUCCCACUCUGCACCCAUCUCCCCACCCCUCCAAGCUUCGAAAGUACUCUUUUAAAAAUGCAUGCCUUUGUUCCACAUGGCUUCCAGAAUAGAAUUAAAAUUUCUCAGCCAAGAACAAGGCCCGUCAAGAA
This is a long non-coding RNA of Suricata suricatta (meerkat), 576 nucleotides long. RefSeq lists it as uncharacterized. Lineage: Eukaryota; Metazoa; Chordata; Mammalia; Carnivora; Herpestidae. The transcript has 5 exons. The record is from RefSeq and is a predicted model, not a curated record.